RNAcentral lists this ribosomal RNA (253 nucleotides) under uncultured Paludibacter sp. RNAcentral describes it as "partial 16S ribosomal RNA". It matches the Rfam family "Bacterial small subunit ribosomal RNA", at positions 524 to 776 of the family's 1533-position model. Lineage: Bacteria; Pseudomonadati; Bacteroidota; Bacteroidia; Bacteroidales; Paludibacteraceae. The record is from RNAcentral.
UACGGAGGAUCCGAGCGUUAUCCGGAUUUAUUGGGUUUAAAGGGUGCGUAGGCGGAUUGGAAAGUCAGCGGUGAAAGUUUGCAGCUUAACUGUAAAAUUGCAAUUGAAACUGUCAGUCUUGAGUGCAAAUGAGGUAGGCGGAAUGUGUUGUGUAGCGGUGAAAUGCAUAGAUAUAACACAGAACGCCAAUUGCGAAGGCAGCUUACUGGGAUGCAACUGACGCUGAGGCACGAAAGCGUGGGGAUCAAACAGG